CUCGAUUUUUAUCAUAAAUUGAUAAUUUGCUUACCUUUGAUAGAUCUCAUCAAAAGAAACACUAUUCUUACCAUUAAUUGUCACAAAAUAUGUACAGGAUGAAAAGAACACUGGUUCUUUUCAUCCUCUAUAUGCCCGGAUAAUUUUUAUAUUUUUAGUAGACACAGGGUUUCACCAUGUUGGCCAGACUGGUCUCGAACUCCUGCCCUCAGAUGAUCUGUCUGCCUUGGCCUCCCAAAGUGCUGGGAUGACAGGUGUGAGCCACUGCACCUGGCCAGUUAUCUCCAUUUUUCACAGGAGAGAACAGAAUUGGAGCAAUGCAGCAGAUGCACACAACCAGCAAACCUAGAGCUGGAAUCCGAAGUCGAUGCAUGUGAACGUCCCAGCUCAGAGAGAGGCGGUGAGCAGGAGAGGACUGGGUGAAAAUGGUUCGCACACACACCUUUGUCUUCAUCAUUUAGUCCUCCAGGGUGUCACAUGGACUACGCCACUUGACCUCCACAGCAAUUCUGUGGCAUUUGUGCACCAGAAACUUUAUCCCUGUUUUGCCAGCGAGGAAACUUAGGUUUGGAACGGGUAGAUCACCGCACAAAGCCUUACUGUAAAGAGCGCCAGGCCUCAAACUUUUGCUGGCAUUGUCCUUCACAGUUUACUUUAGGGCCUGUCAUUUACUGGGGUGAAACACAAAAGUUUCUUGUCCCUGAAAGUCUGCAAUUAAAGUGCCAUUAGCACAGUAAUGUACCAACCAGUCGUUCCUUGGGCCGCAAGGGGGCAUGUCUACUGCUACUCAGUCUCAGUGGGUAAGCUGGAGAGUCCUCCCACAAUGAGCAGAUUCCGAGGCGGGUGUGUACAUGGAAGGACUCACAGGGGUUGGGGAGGCAGCAGUGGCGUUCUGUCCGAGCCUGUUUGUGUUGCUAUAAAGGAAUACUCGAGGCUGGGUAACUUAUGAAGAAAAGAGGUUUAUUUGGCUCAAGGUUCUGCAGGCUGUACAAGAAACAUGGCGCCAGCAUCUGCUUCUGGUGAGGCCCUCAGGGAGCUUCCACUCAUGGCAGAAGGGGAAGGGGAGCUGGCAUCAGAUGGCAAGAGAGGAAGGAAGAGAGGAGUGCGGGAGGUGCCAGGCUCGUUUCAACAUCAGCUCUGGCAAAAACUAACAGAGCAAGAACUCACUCCUUCCCGAGGGGACAAGAGGAUGGCACCAAGAGGCACAUGACCCCAAGACUCCCAGUAGGCUCCACCACCAACACCAGGAAUCAGAUUUCAACAUGAGAUUUGGAGGGACCAGGUAUCCAAUCUAUCCAUCCACUCCAAGCAUCCAUUUGAUACCCAGAAUGCAUUAUUUCAGCACCCGUAUCCAUUCAACAAAACUAUUUUAAAUUAUAAUCAUGUAAUAGGAAUAAUCAUCAUUUUCCUAAUUAUUCUUCGGUUUCAAAACCAAAAAUUGGCAGGUCAUGGUGGCUCACACCUGCACUCCCAGCACUUUGGGAGGCCUCAGGUAGAUCACCUAAGGUCAGGAGUUAGAGACCAGCCUGGCCAACAUGGCGAAACCCCAUCUCUACUAAAAAUACGAAAAUGAGCUGGGCGUGGUGGCGUGUGCUUGUAAUCCCAGCUACUGGGGAGGCUGAGGCAGGAGAAUCACUUGAACACGGGAGGUGGAGGUUGCAGUGAGCCGAGAUCGCGCCACUGCACGCCAGCCUGGGUGACGAGAGUGAAACUCCAUCUCAAAAAAAAAAAACCCAACAAUUACACUUUUAAAAAACAAUAAAUUUCUUUCCUUUUUUUUUUUUUUUUUUUCUGAGACAAGAUCUCACUCUGUCACCCAGGCUGGAGUACAGUAGUGCAGUCACGGCUCACUGCAGCCUUAGCCUCCCAGGCUUAAGCAAUCCUCCACCUCAGCCUCCCAAGAAGUUGGGACCACAGGCACGCUUGGCUAAUUUUUAAAUUUUUUUGUAGAGACAGGAUCUCACUAUGUUGCCCAGGCUGGUCUCAAACUCCUGGCCUCGAGUAAUCCUCCUCCGUUGACCUCCCAAAGCAUGAGCCAACGUACCUGGCCAAAAAAAAUAAAUUUCAAUUGUAUUUUAUUUAUUUAUUUAUUUAAUAUUUUUUUGAGACAGAGUCUUAUUCUGUCGCCCAGGCUGGAGUGCAGUGGCCCAAUCUCGGCUCCCCGGGUUCUAGCGAUUCUUCUGCCUCAGCCUCCUGAGUAGCUGGGACUACACGCCCGUGCCACCACGCCCAGCUAAUUUUUGUAUUGUUAGCAGAGACAGGUUUUCACCAUAUUGGCCAGGCUGGUCUCGAAAUCCCGCCUCGGCCUCCCAAAGUGCUGGGAUUACAGGCGUGAGCCACCACUCCUGGCUAAAUUUCAAUUUUAAAGACAUUAUUUGAAUUCAGUAAAAUGUGUAAUAUAUGAGCUAAAAUCCACACUAUAACAAAAAUAUUUCAGCUUGCGGUUCCCACCGCCCUGUUUCACUGAUUCAAAUUUUAAGCACAAGUGAUCACAUGGAAUGAAGUGAAGUAAAGCAAGUUCUCCUCGUUUGUCUUUAUAGUCAUAGUGCUACCACGGUUCACUUCAAACCUGCUGUUUACAUGCAGGAGGUUGCAGUGCCCAUCAGCUGGAUCAAACUGUGCCUGAAGCUAGCACUCUGCUUCUGAACCAAAUAAACUUCUUGUGGCUGAACGAAGACGUGUUGGAACCAAUUAUAAUAACAGAGCACCCUGACUUUCAGUCGGCUUGAUCAGUCUUUUUUUUUUUUUUUCGAGACGGAGUUUCACUCUCGUUGCCCAGGCUGGAGUGCAACGGCGCGAUCUCGGCUCACCACAACCUCCGCCUCCCGGGUUCAAGCGAUUCUCCUGCCUCAGCCUCCCGUGUAGCUGGGAUUACAGGCACACGCCACCACACCUGGCUAAUUUUGUAUUUUUAGUAGAGAUGGGGUUUCCCCAUGUUGGUCAGGCUGGUCUCGAACUCCCAACCUCAGGUGAGGCUUGAUCACUCUUUUAGGUUCUCUGUGGCUAAGGUGACGCCCACACCCGAAUGAAGUUCCCCUUCCCCAGCCUCAGGCAUCCAUGGCAGGAGGUGAAGUUGUGGGGAUUGUUGAUAAUGGAUGGAAUGUGAACGAGUUGCAUCAGGAAAUGCAGGCUGAGCACAGUGGCUCCCGCCUGUAAUCCCAGCCCUUUGAGAGGUCAAUACAGGAGGAUUGCUUGAGGCCAGGAGUUUGAUUCCAGCCUGAGCAAUAUAGUGAAACCUUGUCUCUACAAAGAAUUUUUUUUCUUUUUUUUCAGAGACAGGGUCUCGCUCUGUUAUCUAGACUGGAGUGCAGUAGUGUGAUCAUAGCUCCCUGUAACCUCAAAACAUUUUUUUUUUUGAGACAGAGUUUCACUCUUUUUGCCCAGGCUGGAGUGCAGUGGUGUGAUCUCAGCUCACUGCAAGCUACACCUCCCAGGUUCAAGCGAUUCUCCUGCCUCACCCUCCCAAGUAGCUGGGAUUAAAAGUGCCUGCCACCACGCCCGGCUAAUUUUUUGUAUUUUUAGUAGAGACGGGGGUUCACCAUGUUGGCCAGGAUGAUCUCAAUCUCUUGACCUCAUGAUCCACCCGCCUUGGCCUCCCAAAGUGCUGGGAUUACAGGCAUGAGCCGCCACACCCGGCCUCAAAACAUGUUUUUUUUUUAAUUAUACAGGAGGCGCACACCUGUAAUACCAGCUAUUUUGGAGGUUGAGGUGGAAAGAUGACUUGAGCCCAGGAGGUUGAGGCUGCAGUGCGCUAUGAUUGCGCCAAUGCACUCCAGCCUCGGCGACAGAGCAAGACCCCGUCACAACAACAAAAAAUGAGAAAAUGGACAUUUAUGGCAAACUACUUCUGCCCCGAGAUUUCCUGUGGGUUCUGCGUGAUUGGCUCUCAGGGUGUGGGCAGCUAAGGUUCCAAAGUGUACUGUUUAAUCCUAGCACAGCACAAAUGGCUUGCAGGAGAUAAGGCAGAAUCUCAUCAGCACAUCAGGGUAAGCACCCAGCUAUCAUGGGCUAGACCCAUGGAGAAGCCGUGCUCUGGGAACCCCCCUCCUCCUUCACUAGAGGCAAUGAAAUGAAGCAGUAGCUCCUGCUCUGACCUUACUGCUCCCAGAGUCCUUGUGGGUACUAGUUCCAGUCUCAGACUAACAGCCAGAAGAUCUGCCAUUGAAGUUUCAGUUCCAAAACUAAUGCGAUGACUUUGGGUAAGUCAUAAAACCUCAAGGGUCAGUUUCUUCAUCUGUUAAAUAAAAUCGACAUCUGCCCUGCCAGCCUCACAGGGUUGUUUUAAGAAGGAGAUGGAAUAACAGAAAUGAAGGAGGGAGGCCGGCUGCUACCACAGGGCAGGGACUAUCACCCACUGUGGCCUCCAACCUGAUGGUGCCUCAGAGUCAGCUGGGGCUGCCCAAACACAAACCGCCGGGCUCCACCCCCAGGGAUUCCCAUGCUGAGGUCCGGGUUGAGGCCCAGAAUUUCCAUGUCUAAUGAGUGCCCAGGUGGUGCUUUUGCUGCUGAUCCAAGGACCACACUUUGAAAACCAUGACUUAGGUUUAGGAGGACGGGCUCUGGAGGCAGGUUUGAGUCCUGGCUGUACCACUUCCUGUCUACAUGUCUGAGGACAAGUGACUUAAUCUUUACAUUUCAGCUUUCUCAGCUAUAGACAAUAUAAUAUUGAGAGUGCAAAUUAGUUCAACCAUUGCGGAAAGCAGCAUAGUGAUUCUGCAAAGAACUUAAAACAGAACUACCAUGCAACCCAGCAAUCCCAUGACUGGGUAUAUACCCAGAGGAAUCUAAAUCGUUCUACCAUAAAGACACAUGCAGGUGUAUGUUCACCACAACACUAUUCAUGAUAGCAAAGAUGUGGAAUCAACAUAAAUGCCCAUCCACAGUAGACUUGACAAAGCAAAUGUGGUACAUUUACAUCGUGGAAUACCAUGAAGCCAUAAAAAAGGAACGAGAUCAUGUCCUUUGCAGCACUAUGGAUAGAGGUGGAGGCAAGCUAAGGCAGAAACAGAAAACCAAACACCGCGUGUUCUCACUUAUAAGUGGGAGCUCCACAGCGAGAACACAGGGAUAUUAGGAGGGGAACGGUGGGCAACGGGGCCUACCUGAGGGUGGAGGAUGGGAGGAGGGAGAAGAUCCGAAAAAAUACCCAUCGGGUACUAGGCUUAUUCCUCAGUGAUGAAAUUAUCUGUACACCCAUCCCCCAUGACAUGAGUUUACUCAUGAAACAAACCUGCACAUGGACCCUCAAACCUAAAAUAAAAGUUAACAAAAAAUUUUCCUGACCAACCUCUUCAGGAAGAGGGGCAAUCCUCGUGUCACAAGCAAUGCCAAUAAAGAACAGGAACGCCACCUUUUUCAACUCCUGAGAGAUGAAUCCAACGUCUGACCCUGCAUUGCAUGCACUCUCGCCCACGUCGGCUCUCAUCCCCACACUCCUCGUUCCUGUCACCGGCCUAUGCUGUAAACACCCUAGCAGUCACAAUCAGUCACUUAUCUGUCUUAUGGGUCUAUUAUUUCAUUCUCUGUCCUGCAACCGAAGCUCUGCGUUGUCUUACCCAUGUUUAGAACAGCUCCGUUCAAUGAUGAGAGUCACACAAGCCAUCUAAACUUUUCUGGUGGUCACAUUAGAAAAGUAAAACAGCAAGAAAUAGUUUUAUUAUUAUUAUUAAGAUGGAGUCUCACUCUGUCACCCAGGCUGGAGUGCAGUGGGACAAUCUCGGCUCACUGUAACCUACACCUCCCGGGUUCAAACGAUUCUCCUGCCUCAGCCUCCCAAGUAGUUGGGAUUACAGGCACUCACCACCACACCCGGCUGAUUUUUGUAUUUUUAGUAGAAAUGGGGUUUCACCAUGUUGGCCAGGCUCAUCUCGAACUCCAGACCUCAGGUGAUCCACCCGCCUCAGCCUCCCAAAGUGCUGGGGUUACAGGCAUGAGCCACUGUGCCUAGCCACUAAUUUU
This 5958-nucleotide long non-coding RNA is filed under the name Homo sapiens (human). RNAcentral describes it as "HSALNT0299931". Lineage: Eukaryota; Metazoa; Chordata; Mammalia; Primates; Hominidae. The record is from RNAcentral.